CAAUAGCGUAUAUUAAAGUUGUUGCAGUUAAAAAGCUCGUAGUUGGAUUUCGGGAUGGCCCGGCCGGUCUGCCGCAAGGUAUGUUACUGGCCGAGCUGUUCUUCUUCGCAAAGACUGUGUGUGCUCUUAACUGAGUGUGCUCAGGAUCUGUGACGUUUACUUUGAAAAAAUUAGAGUGUUCAAAGCAAGCCAGCGCUUGAAUACAUAAGCAUGGAAUAAUGGAAUAGGACUUUGGUUCUAUUUUGUUGGUUUCUGGAACCUUAGUAAUGAUUAAGAGAGACAGUUGGGGGCAUUCGUAUUUCGUUGUCAGAGGUGAAAUUCUUGGAUUUACGAAAGACGAACUACUGCGAAAGCAUUUGCCAAGGAUGUUUUCAUUAA
This 378-nucleotide ribosomal RNA is filed under the name uncultured eukaryote. RNAcentral describes it as "partial 18S ribosomal RNA". It matches the Rfam family "Eukaryotic small subunit ribosomal RNA", at positions 592 to 976 of the family's 1831-position model. The record is from RNAcentral.